CUUAGAUCUACAGGGUGGCCCAAAAGUAGGUUGCAGGUUGGCGGUACUUAGAUCUACAGGGUGGCCCAAACGUAGGUUUUACCGUUUUCACGUAGACUUUUGUUUGAAAAUUCGAAACAGUGGGAAACUUGAUCUACCUGUUCACAGAAACACAAACCUUUGAAUCUCUCAGAUGUUCAAAAUGUCCUCCAUCGACACUCCAACGGUCUUCAAAUCUCUAUAGGACAUUCUGACACACAGCUUUCUGUGAAUGCGAGCUGAAUGUUAUCUUUGAAAUUAUUUCUUGUUUUUUAGGGUUUCGUCUCAUAAACCUUGGUCUUAACGACACACACACACACAAAAAUAGGUGUUAACGUUAGGUAAACGUGAACGUCAGGUAGACGUGGUGGCCAUUUGAUGCUGCCCCUUCUUCAGAACCAACUGUAAACCAACUUUUGGGGCCACCCUGUGUAUGUAUGGAGCAUUUGGAUUCAAUUGUUGCGUCACAUUGUUUUGUCUUGUCAUGAUAAUGUAAUAGAACUUGAAUAUUGGAGACGUACUGCUCCCUGACUUAAUUCUCACAUACGUUAGGAUGUUAUACUAUGUAAUAAACAUGAAGUAGUAACCAUGGA
Biomphalaria pfeifferi is the source of this 611-nucleotide non-coding RNA. NCBI's taxonomy places the organism in Eukaryota, Metazoa, Mollusca, Gastropoda, Planorbidae. The record is from the annotation of a GenBank genome assembly.